AAGGAAUUCAGUUUUGAUUACAAGACGAAUAUACGAUCCAAUACACCAAAACCAAUAUAACAUCCUCAUAUAAUAUAUAAUCCAUAACAUAUUCUAACUUCUAUUCUUUGUCCAGAACACGCUUGCGGAAAUCUGUCACCAUGAGAGGCAGACCUUCCUUGAGUGAAAUCUUUGGUUCCCAGUUCAGAAGCUCCUUUGCCUUGGUGAUGUCAGGUUUUCUCAUAUGUGGGUCGUCAGCGGUGUUCGGUUUAAACUCAAUGGUUGCAGUUGAGUCGAUGGUUUCCUUGACAACCUCAGCCAGUUCCAUCAUGGUGAACUCCCCUGGAUUCCCCAAGUUGAAAGGUCCUAUGUGCUCACCUUCCAUUAGUGCUACCAGCCCAUCAACCAAAUCAGAGACGUAUUGGAAGCUUCGAGUUUGCUUCCCAUCACCAUAGACA
RNAcentral lists this unclassified non-coding RNA (437 nucleotides) under Hevea brasiliensis (rubber tree). The record is from RNAcentral. Lineage: Eukaryota; Viridiplantae; Streptophyta; Magnoliopsida; Malpighiales; Euphorbiaceae.